GUGCGGCGUGGCAGAGCGGUGCCGGCGGGCCCGCGGCGGGCAAGGCGGCGGUGGCGGCAGCAGCGUCCUCCGCGACCUGCUGAAGGCGCUGGAGGUGCUGGAGCUGCUCUGCGUCAACUUGCUCCUCUCCCCGUGGAGGAAGGAGAUCAAGUCGCUGAAGACGUUCACUGGUAAUUUUGUCUACUAUAUUCAGUCUGUGCUCCCAGAUGACAUAGUAAAAACAGUACUGGAGAAAAUAGGCUACAUUGCAACAACAGCAACAGAGUUUUCACUUGUCAGAAAGAGAAACAAUGAGGAAACAAAGCAGACUGCAUUUGAAAUAUUCCUGGCAAGAAUUGAGUGUGAAACCAUCCUCAAAAUGACAAACGAAGAAAAACAAGGCAAUUUGGAGAAGACCCUACAAAAGAGAACACAAAUGCACUGGCAUCAUGGAGAUAAGGACAAAAAGGAGCAGGCACCCCUGAGAGAAGACUCUGAAAAUCUGGAAAACAAAGAAAACAGUGAGACAUCUUUGUGCCUUGUUACUCAGCCUAAGUCUUCAACUAACAGUGAUAUAUCCUUUGAAGCUGCUAGGAAUCUUAAGAUCAAAGAUGACAUGCCUCAGUUAGCAGUUACUCAAUCCACUAACAGGCUUCAGGAACACCAAAGGCAAGUCAUUAACACAGCACACUUUCCAGGCAAAUGCUCAGACAGUGAGGACUUCUUGAUCAAAUAUAGUGACAUUGUCAUAGGACAAACACCUAUUUUCAGUGAGAAUCUUUCUCAAAAAGCUUUUGAAAAGAAGCCAAGAGACGGUUUAAGUGAAGAAUGUGUUUUGGCAGUCACUGCACAGUCAACUGAAAAUGAGAUCCCGCCUGUGCCACUCUCACCAGGAGCAAGCGGUCCACGAGCCUUUGCAAUAUUUGCUGACAGCUCUUGUGACAGUAAAAACAGUUUGGAGUACAAAGCUCAAGAAGUCCCUGAAGAAUCAAUUGAAGCAAAAAUUAGCGAUGCCAUAAACUGUGUAGACCCAGACCCUGCUGAUGAACCCAAUGAGCUGAAGUCUCUGCCAUACAAGGACAUUGCAUCUGUCCCAGACCACAGCGUCCCUAGGGAAGAGGAGGUCUGUGAGUUGCCUUUAACCUUUACUAAACUACAAAUCAAGGAAACUCAAGAAGAGCUAAUGUAUCCAGUAGAGGAAACUGGGCAACCUGAGUCAAUAGCAUAUACCUGUUCUUGCAGCAAUCCAAGAUUGAAAAUGGAGCGAGUCUAG
This is a long non-coding RNA of Apteryx rowi (Okarito brown kiwi), 1252 nucleotides long. Ensembl lists it as uncharacterized. The record is from Ensembl. NCBI's taxonomy places the organism in Eukaryota, Metazoa, Chordata, Aves, Apterygiformes, Apterygidae.